This 86-nucleotide transfer RNA is filed under the name Aquihabitans sp. G128. Its description in RNAcentral is "tRNA-Ser". It matches the Rfam family "tRNA". Rfam says of the family: Transfer RNA (tRNA) molecules are approximately 80 nucleotides in length. Their secondary structure includes four short double-helical elements and three loops (D, anti-codon, and T loops). Further hydrogen bonds mediate the characteristic L-shaped molecular structure. tRNAs have two regions of fundamental functional importance: the anti-codon, which is responsible for specific mRNA codon recognition, and the 3' end, to which the tRNAs corresponding amino acid is attached (by aminoacyl-tRNA synthetases). tRNAs cope with the degeneracy of the genetic code in two manners: having more than one tRNA (with a specific anti-codon) for a particular amino acid; and 'wobble' base-pairing, i.e. permitting non-standard base-pairing at the 3rd anti-codon position. Lineage: Bacteria; Bacillati; Actinomycetota; Acidimicrobiia; Acidimicrobiales; Iamiaceae. The record is from RNAcentral.
GGAGCGGUGGCAGAGCGGACGAUUGCACCGGUCUUGAAAACCGGCGACCGAAAGGUUCGAGGGUUCGAAUCCCUCCCGCUCCGCCA